This 349-nucleotide ribosomal RNA is filed under the name uncultured bacterium. Its description in RNAcentral is "partial 16S ribosomal RNA". It matches the Rfam family "Bacterial small subunit ribosomal RNA", at positions 338 to 684 of the family's 1533-position model. The record is from RNAcentral.
CCUACGGGAGGCAGCAGUGAGGAAUAGUGGUCAAUGGACGAGAGUCUGAACCAGCCAAGUAGCGUGAAGGAUGACUGCCCUAUGGGUUGUAAACUUCUUUUAUAAAGGAAUAAAACGAGGCACGUGUGCAUUUUUGCAUGUACUUUAUGAAUAAGGAGCGGAUAACUCCGUGCCAGCAGCCGCGGUAAUACGGAGGAUCCGAGCGUGAUCCGGCUUUAUUGGGUUUAAAGGGAGCGUAGAUGGGUUGUUAAGUCAGUUGUGAAAGUUUUCGGCUCAACCGUAAAAUUGCAAUUGAUUCUGGCAGUCUUGCGUACAGUUGAGGUAGGCGGCAUUCGUGUUGUAGCGGUGA